RNAcentral lists this small RNA (1223 nucleotides) under Arabidopsis thaliana (thale cress). RNAcentral's name for it is "ATSL195010". Lineage: Eukaryota; Viridiplantae; Streptophyta; Magnoliopsida; Brassicales; Brassicaceae. The record is from RNAcentral.
GAUUCAAUAAUAAACCGAUAUUGACAAUGACUGAGAUAUAUUCUAAGACUUUCAUACGAUGUGAUUUUGAAACAUUCUGAAUUCCUGACGACUUGAGCAGUCAAAUGUCAUGGACAGGUAUCAUCAACGCAUACUAUCUCCAAUCUUGUAGGACAUGACCUAGGUUGCUUAUAGCAAAAACAUUGUUUGAUUGCGAGAUAAGACAUUGUUUGUUGUAUGACUUUUCUGUUCUUAAAAAUACUCCUCAAUCUAUAGUGUACGUACAUUGGUACAAACCAUGUUGACACGUACUUCUUGGAGUCACAGCUGGUGUACGGUCACCCGAGUGAGAAAUGUUAUCUUUGUUAGGUACACGCUGACUUGUGUACGUACACGCUGCCAACAGCCGACUGAAUUCCCCUGGACGUUGAACAGUCAGUUGAGUGAAAAUGAAGUCCUCCUCAACAUUCCCUAUUCCAUAUUCUUCUACAAUUACAUCGUUCCACUUGUUGUAAUCAUAAUCUUCGCCACUACUUUCACUACCAUCGAUAGUAGGAUCGAGGGUACUUCUCCCAUAGAUCCAUAGUCACCCUGAUAAUCAUCAUACCCAUCACCAUUUUCGUUGUCCCCCUCCUAUUCAUCUUCAUCUGUUUUACCGUCUUCAACGUCGUCUUGCUCAUCUAGCGCCUCAUUAUUUUCAUCAACAUUUGAAACACUAUCACACACAUGGUCACUUUCAGCAUCGUCACCAUGAGUCCUAGAGACAUUAUUUCCGAGUGUCUUGACGGUUGUAAUGAAAGAGACAAACAAGUUAAGAAAAAGAUACCCACCACGAAUCAAAAAGAACGUAUCUAACCCCACUUGACUGUCAAUGUAGACAGGAGGGCGUUUAGUAUCUAUCAUCACUGACAUCUCUCCCGGCAUCCAGUAACUAAUUAUGGGAUUGAUCUCUGCGGACUUCAAACUGAAAGCCUCGCUUAGUGUACGUCAUAUUUUCCUUAACACGUACACAUCGACCAAACAUGUCUUCCUCUGGUUCAAAUUUCCAUUCUUCUUCUUUGCAUCUCCACUCACCGACCAUAGUAAAUACGGGAAUAUCCAUUACCCAACUGCAUCAUAAAUUCAGGAGAAACCCAUUAAAUGCAACUGAAAACAUGAUUAUAUCUACAAAAACAAAUAGAAUUUCGAUAUACACACUUAUAAACAUAAAUAUCUACUCAUUUAGCAUUUUCAACCAACAAAAU